GACGAACGCUGGCGGCGUGCUUAACACAUGCAAGUCGAACGGAAAGGCCCUGCUUUUGUGGGGUGCUCGAGUGGCGAACGGGUGAGUAACACGUGAGUAACCUGCCCUUGACUUUGGGAUAACUUCAGGAAACUGGGGCUAAUACCGGAUAGGAGCUCCUGCUGCAUGGUGGGGGUUGGAAAUUUUCGGCGGUUGGGGAUGGACUCGCGGCUUAGCAGCUUGUUGGUGGGGUAGUGGCUUACCAAGGCUUUGACGGGUAGCCGGCCUGGGAGGGUGACCGGCCACAUUGGGACUGAGAUACGGCCCAGACUCCUACGGGAGGCAGCAGUGGGGAAUAUUGCACAAUGGGCGGAAGCCUGAUGCAGCAACGCCGCGUGCGGGAUGACGGCCUUCGGGUUGUAAACCGCUUUCGCCUGUGACGAAGCGUGAGUGACGGUAAUGGGUAAAGAAGCACCGGCUAACUACGUG
This 468-nucleotide ribosomal RNA is filed under the name uncultured bacterium. RNAcentral's name for it is "partial 16S ribosomal RNA". It matches the Rfam family "Bacterial small subunit ribosomal RNA", at positions 28 to 507 of the family's 1533-position model. The record is from RNAcentral.